Phyllostomus hastatus (greater spear-nosed bat) is the source of this 106-nucleotide small nuclear RNA. NCBI's taxonomy places the organism in Eukaryota, Metazoa, Chordata, Mammalia, Chiroptera, Phyllostomidae. The record is from RefSeq and is a predicted model, not a curated record.
UUGCUUAUUCUGGCGGCACAUAUACUAAGAUUGGAAUGACAUGGAGAUUAGCAUGGCCUCUGCAUAAAGAUGACACCCAAAGCACCUCGAGAUACUCAAUAAAUAU